GACGAACGCUGGCGGCGUGCCUAACACAUGCAAGUCGAACGGAUGGUUUCGGCCAUCAGUGGCGCACGGGUGAGUAACGCGUGGGAAUCUGCCCAGCAGUGGGGGAUAACCUCUGGAAACGGAGGCUAAUACCGCAUACGCCCCUCGGGGGAAAGGCUUGCUGCUGCUGGAGGAGCCCGCGUCGGAUUAGGUAGUUGGUGGGGUAACGGCCUACCAAGCCUGUGAUCCGUAGCUGGUCUGAGAGGAUGAUCAGCCACACUGGGACUGAGACACGGCCCAGACUCCUACGGGAGGCAGCAGUGGGGAAUUUUGCGCAAUGGGGGAAACCCUGACGCAGCGACGCCGCGUGGAGGAUGAAGGCCUUCGGGUCGUAAACUCCUGUCAGAGGUGAAGAAUGCCGCAAGGGUUUGACGGUAACCUCAGAGGAAGCCCCGGCUAACUACGUGCCAGCAGCCGCGGUAAACAUAACUCGUA
This 474-nucleotide ribosomal RNA is filed under the name uncultured bacterium. RNAcentral describes it as "bacterial SSU rRNA". It matches the Rfam family "Bacterial small subunit ribosomal RNA", at positions 28 to 536 of the family's 1533-position model. The record is from RNAcentral.